RNAcentral lists this ribosomal RNA (497 nucleotides) under uncultured bacterium. RNAcentral's name for it is "partial 16S ribosomal RNA". It matches the Rfam family "Bacterial small subunit ribosomal RNA", at positions 28 to 507 of the family's 1533-position model. The record is from RNAcentral.
GACGAACGCUGGCGGCGUGCCUAAUACAUGCAAGUAGAACGCUGAAGAGAGGAGCUUGCUCUUCUUGGAUGAGUUGCGAACGGGUGAGUAACGCGUAGGUAACCUGCCUUGUAGCGGGGGAUAACUAUUGGAAACGAUAGCUAAUACCGCAUAACAAUGGAUGACACAUGUCAUUUAUUUGAAAGGGGCAAUUGCUCCACUACAAGAUGGACCUGCGUUGUAUUAGCUAGUAGGUGAGGUAAUGGCUCACCUAGGCGACGAUACAUAGCCGACCUGAGAGGGUGAUCGGCCACGCUGGGACUGAGACACGGCCCAGACUCCUACGGGAGGCAGCAGUAGGGGAUCUUCGGCAAUGGGGGCAACCCUGACCGAGCAACGCCGCGUGAGUGAAGAAGGUUUUCGGAUCGUAAAGCUCUGUUGUAAGUCAAGAACGGGUGUGAGAGUGGAAAGUUCACACUGUGACGGUAGCUUACCAGAAAGGGACGGCUAACUACGUG